ACUGUAGAUAGUUCGGACCUGCGCUGU
This 27-nucleotide small RNA is filed under the name Bombyx mori (domestic silkworm). RNAcentral describes it as "ovarian small RNA-11714". The record is from RNAcentral. Lineage: Eukaryota; Metazoa; Arthropoda; Insecta; Lepidoptera; Bombycidae.